Molecule: ribosomal RNA, 253 nt
Filed under: uncultured bacterium
Lineage: Bacteria
Description: partial 16S ribosomal RNA
Rfam family: Bacterial small subunit ribosomal RNA
Source: RNAcentral
UACGGAGGGUGCAAGCGUUAUCCGGAUUCACUGGGUUUAAAGGGUGCGUAGGCGGAAUGAUAAGUCAGUGGUGAAAGCCCCGAGCUCAACUUGGGAAUUGCCAUUGAUACUGUUGUUCUUGAGUUCGGUUGAGGUAGGCGGAAUGUUGCAUGUAGCGGUGAAAUGCUUAGAUAUGCAACAGAACAUCGAUUGCGAAGGCAGCUUACCAAGCCGACACUGACGCUGAUGCACGAAAGUGUGGGGAUCAAACAGG